Molecule: ribosomal RNA, 413 nt
Filed under: uncultured bacterium
Lineage: Bacteria
Description: bacterial SSU rRNA
Rfam family: Bacterial small subunit ribosomal RNA
Source: RNAcentral
AACGAACGCUGGCGGCAGGCCUAACACAUGCAAGUCGAACGCUCCGCAAGGGGAGUGGCGCACGGGUGAGUAACACGUGGGAACCUACCUUCUGGUACGGAACAACCAAGGGAAACUUUGGCUAAGACCGUAUACGACCUCCGGGUGAAAGAUUGAUCGCCGGAAGAGGGGCCCGCGUCCGAUUAGGUAGUUGGUGAGGUAACGGCUCACCAAGCCUUCGAUCGGUAGCUGGUCUGAGAGGAUGACCAGCCACACUGGGACUGAGACACGGCCCAGACUCCUACGGGAGGCAGCAGUGGGGAAUAUUGGACAAUGGGCGCAAGCCUGAUCCAGCCAUGCCGCGUGAGUGAUGAAGGCCUCCGGGUUGUAAANCUCUUUCACCCACGACGAUGAUGACGGUAGUGGGAGAAGAA